This 550-nucleotide ribosomal RNA is filed under the name uncultured Desulfovibrio sp. RNAcentral's name for it is "bacterial SSU rRNA". It matches the Rfam family "Bacterial small subunit ribosomal RNA", at positions 356 to 899 of the family's 1533-position model. The record is from RNAcentral. Lineage: Bacteria; Pseudomonadati; Thermodesulfobacteriota; Desulfovibrionia; Desulfovibrionales; Desulfovibrionaceae.
UUGGGAUAUUGCGCAAUGGACGAAAGCCUGACGCAGCGACGCCGCGUGAGGGAAGAAGGCCUUCGGGUCGUAAACCUCUGUCAUUUGGGAAGAAACCAUGGGACAGGAACAGGCUCUCGUGCUGACGGUACCUAAGGAGGAAGCACCGGCUAACUAUGUGCCAGCAGCCGCGGUAAUACGGAGGGUGCAAGCGUUAAUCGGAAUCACUGGGCGUAAAGCGCACGUAGGCGGAAUGUUAAGUCGGAUGUGAAAGCCCUCGGCUCAACCGGGGAACUGCAUUCGAUACUGCGAUGCUUGAGUGUCGGAGAGGGUGGCGGAAUUCCCAGUGUAGGAGUGAAAUCCGUAGAUAUUUGGAGGAACACCAGUGGCGAAGGCGGCCACCUGGCCGACAACUGACGCUGAGGUACCAAAGCGUGGGGAUCAAACAGGAUUAGAUACCCUGGUAGUCCACGCUGUAAACGAUGGAUGCUAGGUGUCGGGGGUUUACCCUCAUUGCCGCAGUUAACGCGUUAAGUUUCCCGCCUGGGUGAGUACGGUCGCAAGGCUGAAA